UGGGGAAUUUUGCACAAUGGGGGAAACCCUGAUGCAGCGACGCCGCGUGAUUUAGAAGGCCUUCGGGUUGUAAAAAUCUUUUCUAUGGGAAGAAAAUGACAGUACCAUAGGAAUAAGGACCGGCUAAUUACGUGCCAGCAGCCGCGGUAAUACGUAAGGUCCGAGCGUUGUCCGGAAUCAUUGGGCGUAUAGGGUACGUAGGCGGGUAAGCAAGUUAGAAGUGAAAUCCUAUAGCUCAACUAUAGUAAGCUUUUAAAACUGCUCAUCUUGAGGUAUGGAAGGGAAAGUGGAAUUCCUAGUGUAGCGGUGAAAUGCGCAGAUAUUAGGAGGAAUACCGGUGGCGAAGGCGACUUUCUGGCCAUAACCUGACGCUGAGGUACGAAAGCGUGGGUAGCAAACAGG
RNAcentral lists this ribosomal RNA (402 nucleotides) under bacterium. Its description in RNAcentral is "partial 16S ribosomal RNA". It matches the Rfam family "Bacterial small subunit ribosomal RNA", at positions 355 to 776 of the family's 1533-position model. The record is from RNAcentral.